Cydia splendana is the source of this 662-nucleotide long non-coding RNA. RefSeq lists it as uncharacterized. The record is from RefSeq and is a predicted model, not a curated record. Lineage: Eukaryota; Metazoa; Arthropoda; Insecta; Lepidoptera; Tortricidae. The transcript is spliced from 3 exons.
GACUAUGUCCAAGGCUAAUUCAGAGUAUGAAUACAUAUGUGGGUCAUCUAUACUGAACCAAUGGAUUUUGAUAACCGCCGCUCAUUGUUUGGAUGAUACUGUAAAAGCUACAGCUUCUGUGGGUAACGUAAAUAGGGAAAUUGGAAGGCUCCACCGUGUCGCGAAGUUCAAGCAACACGAACAUUGGGAUACAGUUAGAGUUAUCCACGACAUAGCUUUGUGUAGGCUGAAGAAACCGGUUUCGUUAGGACAUAUGGUGAAGAGAGUGGUGAUGGUAAAGCGCCCACCGAAAGCUAGGGUAGCUGACUUGGCUGGAUGGGGCGCGACCGAGGAAAAUGACUACACAGACACUAUACAGCUGAAACACACAAGACAGAAGCUGUGGAAUCAUAAACAGUGCAGAAAAGUCUUUAGCCGUGCACCCAAGGGAACUAUCUGUGGGGGCGAAGCUCGUGCAAGAGGAAAUUACGCUUCAAAAGGAGACUCAGGUAGCGGGCUCCUAGUAGACAACAAAAUAAUCAUCGGGCUAGUCUCCUUCAAGGACCCCUCCGUCUCACGCAGUCUGGUGAUCUAUUACACGGACGUCCCAUACUUCUACGAUUGGGUUAAACGCACAGCGAAACGCCUAAGGUGCUCUUGACAGUAAAAACAAAAAUAAAAUA